GCCCAACAGCUAGCCCCCCCGACCAAAAACAAUCUAUCACCAUUAAUAACCCCUAACACACUAGUGUUAAACUAAACAAAACAUUUUUCCACCUCAGUACGGGCGACGGAAGAGGAACAGACGGCGCUAUAGAGAGAGUACCGCAAGGGAACGCUGAAAGAGAAGUGAAAUAACCCAGUAAAGCCCUAAAAAGCAGAGAUUUUAACUCGUACCUUUUGCAUCAUGAUUUAGCUAGUAAUAUCCAGGCAAAGAGAACUUUAGUCUGGCCCCCCGAAACUAAGUGAGCUACUCCAAGGCAGCCUAUUAAUAGGGCACACCCGUCUCUGUGGCAAAAGAGUGGGAAGAACUUUGAGUAGAGGUGACAGACCUACCGAACUUAGUUAUAGCUGGUUGUUUGAGAAAUGAAUAGGAGUUCAGCCUCGCGGCUUCUUCACUCACCCCUGUCCUACUCCCUACAGACCUUCUGAGAAACCGCGAGAUUAGUCAAAGGGGGUACAGCCCCUUUGAAAAAGAUACAACUUUCCCAGGUGGGUAAAGAUCAUAAUAACCUAAAGUAAAAUGCUUUGGUGGGCCUAAAAGCAGCCAUCCCCUUAGAAAGCGUUAAAGCUCAGGCAUAUCAUUUACCUCAUUAUUCUGAUAAUUUAUCUCAGCCCCCUAAUUUUACCAGACCGCCCCAUGCAACCAUGGGAGAGACCAUGCUAAUAUGAGUAACAAGAGGGCCAGACCCUCUCCCUGCACACGUGUAAUUCGGAACGGACUAACCACCGAACCCUAACGGCCCCAAACAAAGAGGGUAAUGAAUGACAGACCAAACAACAAGAAAAGUCUUCAGCUUCUAACCGUUAACCCCACACUGGUGUGCCCAUAGGGAAAGACUGAAUGAAAAAGAAGGAACUCGGCAAACACAUGAAGCCUCGCCUGUUUACCAAAAACAUCGCCUCUUGCAAAUAAAGAAUAAGAGGUCCCGCCUGCCCUGUGACUAUAAGUUUAACGGCCGCGGUAUUUUGACCGUGCGAAGGUAGCGCAAUCACUUGUCUUUUAAAUGAAGACCUGUAUGAAUGGCAUAACGAGGGCUUAGCUGUCUCCUUUUUCAAGUCAAUGAAAUUGAUCUCCCCGUGCAGAAGCGGGGAUAAAACCAUAAGACGAGAAGACCCUGUGGAGCUUUAGACACCAGGGUAAAUCAUGUUAAACAUCCCUAAACAAAGGGCUAAACCAAAUGAAAAUUACUCCCAUGUCUUUGGUUGGGGCGACCGCGGGGAAACACAAAACCCCCACGUGGAAUGGGACUACUCCCUCCUACAACUCAGAGCUUCCGCUCUAAUUAACAGAAUUUCUGACCAACAAGAUCCGGCAACGCCGAUCGACGAACCGAGUUACCCCAGGGAUAACAGCGCAAUCCCCUUUUAGAGUCCAUAUCGACAAGGGGGUUUACGACCUCGAUGUUGGAUCAGGACAUCCUAAUGGUGCAGCCGCUAUUAAGGGUUCGUUUGUUCAACGAUUAAAGUCCUACGUGAUCUGAGUUCAGACCGGAGUAAUCCAGGUCAGUUUCUAUCUAUGCUAUGAUUUUUUCUAGUACGAAAGGACCGAAAAAAAGAGGCCCAUGCUUCAAGUAUGCCUCACCCCCACCUAAUGAAAACAACUAAAUAGGCAAAAGGGCGUGCCCCCUUUGCCUGAGAUAAGGCA
RNAcentral lists this ribosomal RNA (1683 nucleotides) under Micropterus punctulatus (spotted bass). RNAcentral describes it as "partial 16S ribosomal RNA". It matches the Rfam family "Bacterial large subunit ribosomal RNA". Lineage: Eukaryota; Metazoa; Chordata; Actinopteri; Centrarchiformes; Centrarchidae. The record is from RNAcentral.